RNAcentral lists this ribosomal RNA (445 nucleotides) under uncultured bacterium. RNAcentral's name for it is "SSU rRNA". It matches the Rfam family "Bacterial small subunit ribosomal RNA", at positions 26 to 518 of the family's 1533-position model. The record is from RNAcentral.
AGAGCGAACGCUGGCGGCAGGCCUAACACAUGCAAGUCGAGCGCCCGUAGCAAUACGGGAGCGGCAGACGGGAGAGUAACACGUGGGAACGCGCCCUUCGGUUCGGAAUAACUCAGGGAAACUUGAGCUAAUACCGGAUACGCCCUUACGGGGAAAGAUUUAUUGCCGAAGGAACGGCCCGCGUCCGAUUAGCUUGUUGGUGAGGUAAUGGCUCACCAAGGCGACGAUCGGUAGCUGGUCUGAGAGGAUGACCAGCCUCACUGGGACUGAGACACGGCCCAGACUCCUACGGGAGGCAGCAGUGGGGAAUAUUGGACAAUGGGCGCAAGCCUGAUCCGGCCAUGCCGCGUGGAUGAUGAAGGCCCUAGGGUUGUAAAGUCCUUUUAACGGGAGAUAAUGACGGUACCCGUAGAAUAAGCCCGGCUAACUUCGUGCCAGUAGCCGC